This 28-nucleotide non-coding RNA is filed under the name Callithrix jacchus (white-tufted-ear marmoset). Lineage: Eukaryota; Metazoa; Chordata; Mammalia; Primates; Cebidae. RNAcentral also lists the same sequence under 5 other names. The record is from RNAcentral.
CUUCUGGGUCGGGGUUUCGUACGUAGCA